AGUGAACGCUGGCGGUAGGCCUAACACAUGCAAGUCGAACGGCAGCACAGUAAGAGCUUGCUCUUACGGGUGGCGAGUGGCGGACGGGUGAGGAAUACAUCGGAAUCUACUUUUUCGUGGGGGAUAACGUAGGGAAACUUACGCUAAUACCGCAUACGACCUACGGGUGAAAGCAGGGGAUCUUCGGACCUUGCGCGAUUGAAUGAGCCGAUGUCGGAUUAGCUAGUUGGCGGGGUAAAGGCCCACCAAGGCGACGAUCCGUAGCUGGUCUGAGAGGAUGAUCAGCCACACUGGAACUGAGACACGGUCCAGACUCCUACGGGAGGCAGCAGUGGGGAAUAUUGGACAAUGGGCGCAAGCCCGAUCCAGCCAUACCGCGUGGGUGAAGAAGGCCUUCGGGUUGUAAAGCCCUUUUGUUGGGAAAGAAAAGCAGCAGGUUAAUACCCCGCUGUUCUGACGGUACCAAAGAAUAAGCACCGGCUAACUUCGUG
This 491-nucleotide ribosomal RNA is filed under the name uncultured bacterium. Its description in RNAcentral is "partial 16S ribosomal RNA". It matches the Rfam family "Bacterial small subunit ribosomal RNA", at positions 29 to 507 of the family's 1533-position model. The record is from RNAcentral.